RNAcentral lists this transfer RNA (67 nucleotides) under Botrylloides nigrum. RNAcentral's name for it is "transfer RNA-Leu(UUR)". Lineage: Eukaryota; Metazoa; Chordata; Ascidiacea; Stolidobranchia; Styelidae. The record is from RNAcentral.
GUCAAUGUGGCAGAGAAUUUAUGCGAAAGUUCUAAGAUCUUUUUACGGACAUCAAGUCCCAUUGAUU